Molecule: RNA transcript, 2080 nt
Organism: Quercus lobata
Lineage: Eukaryota; Viridiplantae; Streptophyta; Magnoliopsida; Fagales; Fagaceae
Gene name: COP9 signalosome complex subunit 3-like
Exons: 3
Source: RefSeq, a predicted model, not a curated record
UUUCUUUAUUCUUUUCCUCUCUUUUCUUAUCCUCUGUUCAGUGCUCUUUUUUUUUUUUCCUUCUCUCUUCUCACCUGUUCUCUUUCCCUUUCCCCGGUGGAUCAUGGUGGUGGUGGAUCAUAGAUCACGGCUGAGAUUUGGUCCGGUUUUGGUUGAUUUGGUGGGUUCUGGGUUUUGAUUUCGGUUGAGGUUGUGGGUUGCAGCCGGAUCAUGGAUCGCGUCUGAGAUUGGGUUUUGAUUUGGAUUGAGGUUCUGGGUUGAGCUUCGAUGGCUUGAUUUCGGUGAGAGGGGGAUGAUAUGCAUAGGACAACAGCAUUUUCGCAAAGCCCUAGAGCUCCUACACAAUGUUUGCUUCUUCUUUUUUCCCUUUUACUGAUGGGGUUGAAGAGAAGGCUAUUAAAGAAAUAGAGGCAAAUAAUUUUCAGCUGGGGUACAAUUUUUGGGCAACUAAUUCCUGUCACUCUUUGAGACUAAUCAAAUUACUUCUUCUAUUUUUGGUGGCAGUUUUCUUCUAGUCUUCCUAAGUGCACUUCUUCAGCUGCUUGGAGAAAUCUAAAGAGCUUCUAUCAGGUUUUUUUUUCAAAUUAAUUUAGGCAGUUCUCUUAAUUCUGGGAGUCCUCAUGUUGAUAUUGUGUUUAGAUCUAUGUUAUUUGUUGGACUAAUGAUUUAUAAGCAUGCUACUAAGUUUUAAGUCAUGGUUAGUGAGCUGAGUCACUGUAUAAAUGUUAUGGAAAGACAAAUUUCUUAUACGCGUUGUUGCAUGCCCAAUGUAACAGUGUUUGCUUGUUAACUACCACUUUGAUAAUUUGUCUCAGUGAGAGCUUAGGAUUGAUUAAUAAAUUGAUUUUUCUUUCAAAUCUUGGAUUCAUUUUGUACGUUACCUUAUAUGAUGGGUAUGCUACAGUAUUUGCUUCCCAAUGCAUUCCUCUUCUUACCAAGCAGAGAUCAUGUACUAAAAUCUUUUGAUAUUUUGGGCUAAAUAGUUAUCUUGUUUGAAUAGGUGGCCAGCAUUAUGGCUAGAAUAUAAUGAUUGACUAAAACUCCAUAGUCAUCAUACUAGAAGCUAGAUGGCAAUCAUCUGGCCGUAUGUAUAUAUGUGUAUAUAUAUAUAUAUAUAUAUAUGAAGAAUAAAUGUCUUCGGGUUUUUCAAAUUCAGAUUUUAAUGUGCCAACAAACAUGAAUUAAUAGCUAUUUGAGUGGACUGGGCUAUUUGCAGAAAAAUGCUACUAUUCAGUGUUCACACUUCACACUUACAAUAAUAUUUGUUUCUAUAUGUGAUGCUAUAUUUGGAGUUAGGUAGUUUUCUUUUAACUUGUCUUAUGCGCCCACCUUUGUGAUUCCUAUAUUACGUGAAUGCAACAUGAAUGUGACUCUUUUGUUACAUUUAUGGCCCUUGACAUAACAACAAUUCUGGCAUCUAAUGCCAGAUUACUACUUUUAUUUAUCUACUUUGCUAAAUCUAUAUUUUCUCGGCUAGGCAUACCAACACUUGUACACCUACUCUCAUUCUUGGCCUUUCAAAAAUUGGAGCUUUGAGAACAUUGUGCAAUAUGUUUAUUUGAACAUUAUCUUCUUUGAGUAGCCCUGCAUUGAAUUGGCGAAUAGUUAUAGCAUUGGGGAAAUUGCAGUAUUAGAGACGAACAUCCAGGCAAACAAGGAGAACUUUAAGAGUGAGCUUUCUACCAUACACAAUUCAUUAGGUACUUUGUUUUGGUUAGAACUUAAAAGCUUGAGAUCUUUACUUAAACCAUGUAGGAUGCCACAUUAUACUUUGGCUUUUUAUGCCAGGGUUGAUUUUUUUUGUUUCCAAAAUAUCUAGGGUUUAAAUACCCUUCCCCCCUCCACCCGGGGGCGGUUGUGAAAGCACUAGCAUUGGGGUGUGUAAACACCCUCUAAUUGCUAUUUUACAAUAUAAUUCCUUAAAAACAAGCUCCAUCCUAGUUGCUAAAUCCAAAUUUUUUUCCCACCCAACUACAGUGAGGUUGCAUAUAUGCAACCUUACUGUUCACAAGUUGUAUAAAAAAAUACUAUUAUUUUAUUAACUCCUUUUUCUCUCUCCUCUGACUCUCCGUCUUAGUUC